AACGAACGCUGGCGGCAUGCCUAACACAUGCAAGUCGAACGAGACCUUCGGGUCUAGGGGCGCACGGGUGCGUAACGCGUGGGAACCUGCCCUUAGGUUCGGAAUAACUCCCCGAAAGGGGUGCUAAGGCCGCUUAGGCUCUUAGCGCAAAGGAUUUAUGGCUUUGGGAUGGGCCCGGGUUGGUUUAGCUGGUUGGUAGGGUAAAAGCAUGCCAAGGGGACGUUCCAUGGCUGGUCUGAGAGGAUGAUCAGCCACACUGGGACUGAGACACGGCCCAGACUCCUACGGGAGGGAGCAGUGGGGAAUAUUGGACAAUGGGCGAAAGCCUGAUCCAGCAAUGCCGCGUGAGUGAUGAAGGCCUUAGGGUUGUAAAGCUCUUUUACCCGGGAUGAUAAUGACAGUACCGGGAGAAUAAGCUCCGGCUAACUCCGUG
Molecule: ribosomal RNA, 433 nt
Filed under: uncultured bacterium
Lineage: Bacteria
Description: partial 16S ribosomal RNA
Rfam family: Bacterial small subunit ribosomal RNA
Source: RNAcentral